GACGAACGCUGGCGGCGUGCUUAACACAUGCAAGUCGAACGGUGAAGCGCCUUCCUUUUUGGUGGGUGUGGAUGAGUGGCGAACGGGUGAGUAACACGUGAGUAACCCGCCCCCUUCUUCUGGAUAACCGCAUGAAAGUGUGGCUAAUACGGGAUAUUCUGGGUCUGUCGCAUGAUGGGUCUGGGAAAGAUAUUGUUUCGGUGGGGGAUGGGCUCGCGGCCUAUCAGCUUGUUGGUGGGGUGACGGCCUACCAAGGCGGUGACGGGUAGCCGGCCUGAGAGGGUGGACGGUCACACUGGGACUGAGACACGACCCAGACUCCUACGGGAGGCAGCAGUGGGGAAUAUUGCACAAUGGGCGCAAGCCUGAUGCAGCGACGCCGCGUGAGGGAUGGAGGCCUUCGGGUUGUGAACCUCUUUCGCCAGUGAAGCAGGCCUGCCUCGUUUGUGGGUGGGUUGACGGUAGCUGGAUAAGAAGCGCCGGCUAACUACGUG
This 494-nucleotide ribosomal RNA is filed under the name uncultured bacterium. RNAcentral's name for it is "partial 16S ribosomal RNA". It matches the Rfam family "Bacterial small subunit ribosomal RNA", at positions 28 to 507 of the family's 1533-position model. The record is from RNAcentral.